This 2773-nucleotide ribosomal RNA is filed under the name Triticum aestivum (bread wheat). RNAcentral describes it as "partial small subunit ribosomal RNA". The record is from RNAcentral. Lineage: Eukaryota; Viridiplantae; Streptophyta; Magnoliopsida; Poales; Poaceae.
GACCCAUCCUAUCCCUAUUCCUACGUGCUCUCCAACCCCAGGCCCGACCUCCGCGGUGACUUCGACAUCGACCAGCCGCCCAUCGCGCAAAUGCCCUAUGCCUCCCCCGCCUGCUCAACGCUCCAAGAGCUCGGCCGCCGCCGCCACGAACGCCGACAAGUAUAGUGCGCCGUGCACCGUGGCCGUGCCCUUGAUCUCCUCGAUCUGGUCACGCGUUAGCGUGAAGGACGCGAUCAACGGAGACGGGGAUGGAGGCCCCUGCGCUGUCACUACACCGACGCCUCGAAGAUUGGUGUGCAGUUGGCUGGGUGGGCGCGGGAGGUCCCAUCGGCGGCAAGCGACGCGCGCGCCGGCAGUGCGGCGGCCUGGUCCGAGUAGAGGCGUAGGCGGGCGAGCGCCUUCUUGUGAAGGAGUGGAUCGCUGGAGAACGCCUGCUCUGUUCUUCAAUCACGUUCUGGUGAAGGAAUCGAUCGCCAAGAACGAAGUGCUCUGUUCUUUAAUCUUGUACCUAAUUCUGAAGUUUGCUUUCUUCAAUCUUGUACGUAAUUCUAAAGUUUGAUUUUCUCCUGCUAUCUUCCCCAUUAACCGCUCAUUGGAAUUGAUGGAAUUAGGAACAUCAUAUUGCUUUCAAGUUGAUCAACCUCUGCCCUUUACUCAUGGAAGAAGCAACUGAAUGAGGACAACCUGCUCUCUUUCUCAAUCUGGUGCCUAAGUCUGAAUUUUCCCUUUCUCAUGCCAUCUUCCCAUGAAUAGGUCACUAGAACUGAUAGAAUUUUGAAGGCUGCUUUCAACUUGAUCAAACUUUCCCCUUUAUAGAAGGAAGAAUCAGCCAGUUGUAUUUUAUAUAUUGAGAUGGAAGAAGAGUCUAACACAUAGCACCACUUUUUAAUUUCAUUCUGUAUACUAGAUGGAUUUAGCUGUCCCAAGUAUUCCCACUUCUUGCUUAUUUUCAUGAGGUCUCACAAUUUUUAGUAAGAAUCAUAUUUUUUCUCUUAUCAUGAAAUAUGGCACUUGCACAAGUUUUUUUGCUCAUGAUUACUUUUCUAUUACAGAGGUUUAUUGUCCGGUUUGGUACCUCAUGUUGGCAUGGAAUUUAAAAUUUCAAACGAAGCUUGGGCAUUUUGAUUUAGCUAUAUGCAUGCCCCUGGUUUAAAGGGCUUUGGAGUCCGGAAAAGAUACACAGACAAGAGGUCCGCCGAUGGCAAGGUUACGUCAUGCCGAUUUAUUUGUGCAAGCAAAUGGAAUGUUUAAUCUCUUUUGCCAAACAAAAUUCAGUUAUCAAGUCUAAAAAUGUCUAAGUAGCAAGUGGAAUGCUACAGCGACAUGGCCUAAUUCAGUUAACAAGUUUGAAAGCUACAUUCAGUUAUCAGCUGAUCGGCCUGCAGUGGUGCGACAACUACGGCGUGGCUCAGCCGACCACCACCAUGGAGAUGGUUUUCAUUGCGAGUGAAUGCUUCUGCCGUCGUCGGAUGGCUUACGAACGGGGGAUACACACAUCACGUCCCUCUGCAGUAGGCUGAGCUACCUUGGAGGAUCUCGAUCCGUAUAUAGGUGAGAGAGCUUUGAGAUUGCUAUACAGCUGUAUAGAUUAGUCCAUUCAGCAAAAAAAUUGGAUCCCUUAUGAAGGUGCGUGUCAUCAACUUAUGGAUUCCUUUUUACUGCAUCUCUUGCCCAUUUUUCUUGGGCAUAUAAAUCUUAAGGGCAGUCUAUUUGUGCAGCAAUGAACUCCCAUAAAUUAAUAAUUUGAUCCUUUAUCGUAGUACUAUCAACUUAUAUUUUUCAUGAAAUUGUAAGAUUUAUUAUCCAUCCAUGUGGUAAUAAACCACUGAUUAUAGCGUGUUUAAGCUUGAGAUGAUAAUGAUGUUCAAAUUAGGAGUACAUAAUGGUUUGGAGAUUUUCAUUAGAAAAAAUAUCACUUUCAUACACAUUAAGGAGCACUAUGGUCAUGUUAGCUACUAUUUGAUUUUGUUGUUUCUCACUAAGAGCAAUUCGACUUAUAAUCCUAAUGCUAUGUUGUUAAUUUCCAAAUGAUUAAAAGUCGGGUACGUGCUUUAUUGUGAAAAUUCACAAGAGAAGCAUGCUAUUUGAAAUAAUUGGUUGCAGAUACCUUUGUUGCUUUGGACCUUGCCAUGGAACGAGUGACACUAAAUGACCACAAAUGGACUACAUUGGCCAGGACCUUCAAGUUAUGAGUAAGCGUGGUUCCACCUUUAGUGGUUUGUGCAUCCGAUUUGUCUGUUAGGGAGACUUCUGUGACUGGUUUCACGUGUACCUCAGAGUGCUUGGUACAGCUGCAGGGGCGAGGAUGUCAUAUUGACGCAUCUUGAUGGUUUGUUUCUGUAUGAACUAGCAAUAUUUUGUUUCUUAGAUGCACAAACUUGUAUCUCAGAAUUAUGAUAAAAUUAUGUCAUUUGAUUAGCUCAUGUGUAAACUACUAAUUUCCAUUGCCUCUAUACACACACCUGCAUAUCUUUUUUUUCUGGCCCAUUCGUAGGUACCAAGUAGAAGAUAAUAAGAUUGAAGAUAUAUUUCUCUUGAUUGGUAAUAUUAUACCUCAAAUUUAGUUCUUUUUACAUUCAAUGAUGACUCUAAGCUACGAAUAACACAUGAAUUAAGUUAUGCAGAUUAAGAGGUCAUGACUGUGAUACAUGACAAACAGUUUUGUGUGCAUGAUGAACAUCUAUAUGGUACCAUGGUUGCCGGGGAGGUGUUGCGACGGCGUCCGCUUCCUAGAUGCACUAGCUGUGGGGGCGGACAUAAUUUAAUUUUCUUG